Molecule: long non-coding RNA, 1163 nt
Organism: Mytilus californianus (California mussel)
Lineage: Eukaryota; Metazoa; Mollusca; Bivalvia; Mytilida; Mytilidae
Exons: 2
Source: RefSeq, a predicted model, not a curated record
GGCAUACUGAGAUUUCACCGAGAGAAUGGUGUGCAUAUGAACUUUUUGGACGAAAAAGACUGUGUAUUUUAUGAUUUCAGACGUUCUUUAAGCGCACGCAUGACCGAACUCACAAAACAGGGUAUAGGCACCACUACUAAACAGGCAGAGGCGAUAAGCGAGGAAACAGAAAGCACUCUCUGGGAAAAGGGUUUGCUUGGGAGUACCAGUUCUAAAGCUAUAAUGAAUACCAUGUUUUUCUAUAACAGUAAACUUUUUGGACUCAGAGGUGUAGAUGAGCAUCGGAAUCUGUCCGUGGACCAGUUCGAACUGGGAAAGGAUCAGACGGGAAGCUAUAUAUUAUUCAAGGGCAGAGCCAACAAAACGUACAAAGGUGGACUCAAUCAGCGGAACUUAAGUGCCAAAAACUUAAAACACUAUCUACAAAAUCCAGUACUUUUUAAGAUAUAUGAACAAUAUUUGAAUAUUGUACGUGAUUUAAAUGGAACAGCCUUUUACAGGAGACCGCUAGAUAAAGGAAGUAUUAAGUUUGGUGAACAGUCGGUAGGGGUCAACAAAUUGUCUAAUAUCAUGAAAACCAUGUGUGCAGAAGCCGGAAUAGAUGGGUAUUUCACUAACCACUCUGGUAAAAGGACAUGUGCCACGACAUUAUACCAGGCAGGAGUCCCAGAACAAGAAAUCAUGAACAGAACAGGCCAUAGGUCAGUGGAGAGUGUUAGAAAAUAUAAAAGGGCUUCCAAUGAGAUGUUAAAGGAUAUCUCAAAUAUCCUUGAACCGAGCGAAAGCAUUUGCAAGAAAAUUAAACAUGGAGACAGCACAGAAAUUCAGAAUCGCACAGAAAAUCGUGAACCAUCAAAAAGUGCUACAGGAGGCGUUGGAAGUUUGUUCACUGGAUGUGUGUUCAAUUUUAAUAGUGGAAGUUAAAUAUAUUUGUGAUUAUUUCAGUAUUUCAUAAUUUGUGGAUUAUGUGGUGUCUUUUAUUCAAAGGAAUAUAUGCAUUUUGGAAUAUCAUCCUUUUUUGUAGUGAAAUGUUUGCAUAAUGGAAUUUUAUGCAUUUUUUUUUGUAGUGAAAUUACCAGUGUGCCAUUCUCCAGGAUCAGAUGAUUUAUAUAUGUGGCUUCUAGUUUCACAUUUUUUAAAAAUAAUACAGUUAUUAAAAUUCA